UUGAUCUGAAUUGUUCUAUGUUGGAGCUUCUAUGCUUCAUACCUGAGCAUUCUAGAUCAAUUCCAUCCUUGCUUGGACCCUUUAUUAAGAGCCCCAGUAGAGGUACUUGUGCUUGCUGAUUAGGAUAUACGGCUGAGUAUAAAUUGCAUUUUAAGCUCAGGUAAAUACUUUAACUUAUUUUCCCUAUACGGGCUUGGGAUACGGUAUUAUAAUAAUACCGCUUGGUCGAGUAUUGAAUGUUUAACCGGAUUGUAAUUAAAUUAUUGAGGUAACCCGUUUUAAUCUGUCUUGUUUGAAAUAAAGGCCUUUAGGGGUUAAUGACCAUGUCCCGGAUAUCCGUGGCAUCAUUAUAAAAUAAAAUUGGCCACGUCUUAUGCACGGGGUGUAGGCAUACACCUGACAGUUGCAUAAGGGAAACGGUAUCUCACUCUCUUGUGGGCCUAUACUUGUGGUGGGUCUGUUAAUCUUGACUCGGUUUCUAACAUCGAGCCCUAAAUGUAUAACGAACAUGUAAAUCUGUAUACAAGAUUUUUUUUAUAUAAUUGUCCCAAGUUAUAAAAAGAUAUUUGUGCCUUGUGCAUUCAAAUCAAUUUUCUAAAACAUUUUCAAAAUGAGUCAGUUAAUUGUAUUUACCAGUGUAAACUGACGUAUUUUCCAAAAAGAUUAAGUGACAGGUAGUGUACGUAAUUGGCUGGGAGCUCAGGGCGUUAAUAGGGAAUCUUGCAAGUUCAAGAUGCCUAAAGUCUGUUGAACAGUGUUAUCUUUCUGUUUUAAGAUCCGCCUGUGGAUCCAUCUUACAUUCCGUUGUAAUAUUUGAUAUUACUUUUGAAUCGGUUUGUAAUAUGAUUACUUUU
RNAcentral lists this long non-coding RNA (854 nucleotides) under Helianthus annuus (common sunflower). Its description in RNAcentral is "hypothetical non coding rna". The record is from RNAcentral. Lineage: Eukaryota; Viridiplantae; Streptophyta; Magnoliopsida; Asterales; Asteraceae.